AGCACAGCUGGGUAGCUAUGUGCGGAAGGGAUAAGCGCUGAAAGCAUCUAAGCGUGAAGCCCCCCUCAAGAUGAGAUUUCCCAUCGCGUCAAGCGAGUAAGAUCCCUUGAAGAUGACAAGGUUGAUAGGUCCGAGGUGGAAGCGUGGCGACACGUGCAGCUGACGGAUACUAAUCGAUCGAGGACUUAACUAA
Molecule: ribosomal RNA, 193 nt
Filed under: Anoxybacillus pushchinoensis
Lineage: Bacteria; Bacillati; Bacillota; Bacilli; Caryophanales; Anoxybacillaceae
Description: 23S rRNA. Bacterial LSU
Rfam family: Bacterial large subunit ribosomal RNA
Source: RNAcentral